This 76-nucleotide transfer RNA is filed under the name Candidatus Deianiraea vastatrix. RNAcentral describes it as "tRNA-Thr". It matches the Rfam family "tRNA". Rfam says of the family: Transfer RNA (tRNA) molecules are approximately 80 nucleotides in length. Their secondary structure includes four short double-helical elements and three loops (D, anti-codon, and T loops). The record is from RNAcentral. Lineage: Bacteria; Pseudomonadati; Pseudomonadota; Alphaproteobacteria; Rickettsiales; Candidatus Deianiraeaceae.
GCCGACUUAGCUCAGCUGUUAGAGCUACUGACUUGUAAUCAGUGGGUCGGGGGUUAGAGUCCCUCAGUCGGCACCA